Schistosoma rodhaini is the source of this 45-nucleotide non-coding RNA. The record is from Rfam. Lineage: Eukaryota; Metazoa; Platyhelminthes; Trematoda; Strigeidida; Schistosomatidae.
AUCUAGCUGACGAGUCCCAAAUAGGACGAAACGCGCGUCCUGGCU